GAUCCUGGCUCAGGAUGAACGCUAGCGGCAGGCUUAACACAUGCAAGUCGAGGGGCAGCACGAGGUAGCAAUACUUUGGUGGCGACCGGCGCACGGGUGCGUAACGCGUAUGCAACCUACCUUUAACAGGGGCAUAACACUGAGAAAUUGGUACUAAUUCCCCAUAACAUUCGAGAAGGCAUCUUCUUGGGUUAAAAACUCCGUGUAAGANGGCAUGCGUUGUUAUUAAGUCUAGUUGGUUGGAGGGUAAACGGG
RNAcentral lists this ribosomal RNA (255 nucleotides) under uncultured bacterium. Its description in RNAcentral is "partial 16S ribosomal RNA". It matches the Rfam family "Bacterial small subunit ribosomal RNA", at positions 15 to 264 of the family's 1533-position model. The record is from RNAcentral.